This 445-nucleotide ribosomal RNA is filed under the name uncultured soil bacterium. RNAcentral describes it as "bacterial SSU rRNA". It matches the Rfam family "Bacterial small subunit ribosomal RNA", at positions 26 to 518 of the family's 1533-position model. The record is from RNAcentral.
AGAACGAACGCUGGCGGCAUGCCUAAUACAUGCAAGUCGAACGAACACUUCGGUGUUAGUGGCGCACGGGUGCGUAACGCGUGGGAAUCUGCCCUUGGGUUCGGAAUAACAGUUGGAAACGACUGCUAAUACCGGAUGAUAUCGAAAGAUCAAAGAUUUAUCGCCCAGGGAUGAGCCCGCGUAGGAUUAGCUAGUUGGUGAGGUAAAGGCUCACCAAGGCGACGAUCCUUAGCUGGUCUGAGAGGAUGAUCAGCCACACUGGGACUGAGACACGGCCCAGACUCCUACGGGAGGCAGCAGUAGGGAAUAUUGGACAAUGGGCGCAAGCCUGAUCCAGCAAUGCCGCGUGAGUGAUGAAGGCCUUAGGGUUGUAAAGCUCUUUUACCCGAGAUGAUAAUGACAGUAUCGGAGAAUAAGCCCCGGCUAACUCCGUGCCAGCAGCCGC